This 254-nucleotide ribosomal RNA is filed under the name uncultured prokaryote. Its description in RNAcentral is "partial 16S ribosomal RNA". It matches the Rfam family "Bacterial small subunit ribosomal RNA", at positions 525 to 777 of the family's 1533-position model. The record is from RNAcentral.
ACGUAGGGGGCAAGCGUUGUUCGGAUUUACUGGGCGUAAAGGGCGCGUAGGCGGUCAGCACAAGUCAGUUGUGAAAUCUCCGGGCUUAACCCGGAAAGGUCAGCCGAUACUGCGGGGCUAGAGUGCAGAAGGGGCAACUGGAAUUCUCGGUGUAGCGGUGAAAUGCGUAGAUAUCGAGAGGAACACCUGCGGCGAAGGCGGGUUGCUGGGCUGACACUGACGCUGAGGCGCGAAAGCUAGGGGAGCGAACGGGA